AUAAACAUUUCAAUAAUCUAGCUUUCGACCAAGAUUCAGUCAUCAUCAGGAAACAUGAUGAUGACUGAAUCUUAGUCGAAAGCUAGAAUACUGAAAUGUUUA
This 102-nucleotide microRNA precursor is filed under the name Paramuricea clavata. Lineage: Eukaryota; Metazoa; Cnidaria; Anthozoa; Malacalcyonacea; Plexauridae. The record is from RNAcentral.